Molecule: ribosomal RNA, 468 nt
Filed under: uncultured bacterium
Lineage: Bacteria
Description: partial 16S ribosomal RNA
Rfam family: Bacterial small subunit ribosomal RNA
Source: RNAcentral
GACGAACGCUGGCGGCGUGCUUAACACAUGCAAGUCGAACGGAAAGGCCCUGCUUUUGUGGGGUGCUCGAGUGGCGAACGGGUGAGUAACACGUGAGUAACCUGCCCUUGACUUUGGGAUAACUUCAGGAAACUGGGGCUAAUACCGGAUAGGAGCUCCUGCUGCAUGGUGGGGGUUGGAAAGUUUCGGCGGUUGGGGAUGGACUCGCGGCUUAUCAGCUUGUUGGUGGGGUAGUGGCUUACCAAGGCUUUGACGGGUAGCCGGCCUGAGAGGGGGACCGGCCACAUUGCGCCUGAGAUACGGCCCAGCCUCCAACGGGAGGCAGCAGUGGGGAAUAUUGCACAAUGGGCGGAAGCCUGAUCCAGCAACGCCGCGUGCGGGAUGACGGCCUUCGGGUUGUAAACCGCUGUCGCCUGUGACGAAGCGUGAGUGACGGUAAUGGGUAAAGAAGCACCGGCUAACUACGUG